CAGCUGAACCAGACGGACGCAUCUGUAGAACACGGGUGAUUGCACUUUAAAAUGGCGUUUAUUUUCAGAAGCCCUAUCAACGAUUAUGAAAACCUGGAUCGCAUCGAUCAACUGCUGACUGAACCGUUAAUUAAUGAAACAACGGGUCAGAGCAAAUCUGUCAACAAAUGUGUACUGCAAGAUAUUUCAAACGUUGACUUGUCAACGCUUGUCUCACAACCGGGGUUUGCUACACCCAAACCGAAGACAUCACUGUCACUCAGUUCACGGAGA
Molecule: long non-coding RNA, 273 nt
Organism: Xyrauchen texanus (razorback sucker)
Lineage: Eukaryota; Metazoa; Chordata; Actinopteri; Cypriniformes; Catostomidae
Exons: 4
Source: RefSeq, a predicted model, not a curated record